AUUGAACGCUGGCGGCGUGCCUAACACAUGCAAGUCGAGCGAGAAGACGUAGCAAUACGUUUGUAAAGCGGCGAACGGGUGAGGAAUACAUGGGUAACCUACCCUCGAGUGGGGAAGUAACUAGCCGAAGGUUAGCUAAUACCGCGUACGCUCCUUGGACUUCGGUUUCGAGGGAGGGAAAGCGAUACCGUGGGUAGUCGCGCUCUUGGAUGGGCGUCAUGUCCUAUCAGCUU
RNAcentral lists this ribosomal RNA (233 nucleotides) under uncultured bacterium. RNAcentral describes it as "partial 16S ribosomal RNA". It matches the Rfam family "Bacterial small subunit ribosomal RNA", at positions 30 to 247 of the family's 1533-position model. The record is from RNAcentral.